AUUUGACUGGAUUUUAUGCACUGGAUUUGGGAUCUUUUUUACUGUGCUUGUGUUGCUGAUGCUUCUAUGAUGUGGAGCGGUGUAUCCGGAGCAGUGAGAGUUAGCGGAUAACUCCUUUCUCUGUCAAUGUGGAUUGUUUGGAAUUGCUCCUUUGGCUGCUGGGAUUGGAUGGCUGGAGUCUCUGCAACUUUUCUGGUCUAGACAACGUCUGCGGUCUCAUCAUGACGAUGGAGCGCUCUUUCAGUGAACUCUAUGCUCUGGGACAUUCACGCAUGCUAACAGCAACAUUCCAUCACUCUGGUCACUGCAACGCCGUGAGGUUGCCAUGGUGAUGCUAGGCUCCUCCCACCAGAAGUACAGAAAUCUUAUCUGCAGCAGUGUUCAAAACCCUCAAAACAUCUUUUCCAGCUGACUCAGAACUGUGCCACAUGUUUGCUGUUUCCCAUGUUUGUAAAUGUGUAUUUUAUUUAUUUUUGCUUAGUAAAUGUGUAUUUUAUUUA
This is a long non-coding RNA of Trichomycterus rosablanca, 500 nucleotides long. RefSeq lists it as uncharacterized. The transcript is spliced from 2 exons. The record is from RefSeq and is a predicted model, not a curated record. NCBI's taxonomy places the organism in Eukaryota, Metazoa, Chordata, Actinopteri, Siluriformes, Trichomycteridae.